This 67-nucleotide transfer RNA is filed under the name Fopius arisanus. RNAcentral's name for it is "tRNA-Pro". The record is from RNAcentral. Lineage: Eukaryota; Metazoa; Arthropoda; Insecta; Hymenoptera; Braconidae.
CAAAAAAUAGUUUAAUAAAAACAUUAAUUUUGGAGAUUAAAUUUAUAAUUUUUUUUUAUUUUUUUGA